UUUCUACUCCCUCCAUCCGAAAAAACUUGUCAUCAAAAUGGAUAAAAAGAGAUGUAUCUAAAACUAAAAUACGUCUAGAUACAUUUCCUUUUAUCCAUUUUGAUGACAAGUAUUUCCGGAUGGAUCGAGUAUUUG
Molecule: non-coding RNA, 135 nt
Organism: Triticum aestivum (bread wheat)
Lineage: Eukaryota; Viridiplantae; Streptophyta; Magnoliopsida; Poales; Poaceae
Source: Rfam